RNAcentral lists this ribosomal RNA (492 nucleotides) under uncultured bacterium. RNAcentral describes it as "partial 16S ribosomal RNA". It matches the Rfam family "Bacterial small subunit ribosomal RNA", at positions 29 to 507 of the family's 1533-position model. The record is from RNAcentral.
AUUGAACGCUGGCGGCAUGCUUUACACAUGCAAGUCGAACGGUAACAGGCCUUCGGGUGCUGACGAGUGGCGAACGGGUGCGUAAUGCAUCGGAACGUACCCAGAGGUGGGGGAUAACGCAGCGAAAGCUGUGCUAAUACCGCAUGUGAUCUGAGGAUGAAAGCGGGGGACCGAGCAGCAAUGUUUGGCCUCGCGCCUUUGGAGCGGCCGAUGUCGGAUUAGCUAGUUGGUGGGGUAAAGGCCUACCAAGGCGACGAUCCGUAGCUGGUCUGAGAGGACGACCAGCCACACUGGGACUGAGACACGGCCCAGACUCCUACGGGAGGCAGCAGUGGGGAAUUUUGGACAAAGGGCGCAAGCCUGAUCCAGCAAUGCCGCGUGCGGGAAGAAGGCCUUCGGGUUGUAAACCGCUUUUGGCAGGAACGAAACGGUGUCCGCUAAUACCGGGCGCUAAUGACGGUACCUGCAGAAUAAGCACCGGCUAACUACGUG